GGAGAUAUAGCUCAGUGGCACAAGUCCCUGCCUGGCAAGCACAAGGUCCUGAGUUCAGUUCCCAGUACCUCCC
RNAcentral lists this transfer RNA (73 nucleotides) under Cavia porcellus (domestic guinea pig). It matches the Rfam family "tRNA". Rfam says of the family: Transfer RNA (tRNA) molecules are approximately 80 nucleotides in length. Lineage: Eukaryota; Metazoa; Chordata; Mammalia; Rodentia; Caviidae. The record is from Rfam by way of RNAcentral.